UAAGUAUGUCACCCAGACUCAGUGCUCGUAUCUUCCUUCUUUUCGACAGAAAUUUGCCCCAAAACGCCUCCGGCGGAAGAAAUUUUUGAUGAUUAAGUCCAAAAAUCUGUGAAAACGCUUCAGAUUUUGAGGGGUCUUUCUGAGAAUCGCAGAAGACAUUUUGGGGCGUUUCUGUCACUUGUCCGGGCCCAAGGCAAGGGUGACUGAGGUUCCCCAGGAUAAUCUACGGCCGUGUCCUGCUGGUACCAUGGGGGCACAGCACGAUAGGUCAGCCUUCUACCAGGGGAGUCAUGCCGUGGGUGAGUAUGAUGAGCAUGGGUGAGGGCGCUGGGGUUUGGCGUGGGGAUGGGCCACGAUUCGCCAUGGAGCCAUGUAACCGGAGCUUUUUUCACCAACGUAGUGUUAACGUGGCAACAGCAACCUCACCCCGCACUCUGUGACAAUGGCACAUCCGUCCCGUGCGGCGGAAUAUUUUGCUGUGCCGGAGCCGGAACGUGGGCUAGGGGCAACAGCAACCUCACCCGCACGCUGUAACAAUGGCGCAUGCCGUGCGGCGGACUAUUUUGCUGUACUGGAGCCGAAACGUAGGCUGGGGGCAACAGCAACCUCA
RNAcentral lists this long non-coding RNA (610 nucleotides) under Chlamydomonas reinhardtii. RNAcentral's name for it is "long non-coding RNA (CREI_LNC001099)". The record is from RNAcentral. Lineage: Eukaryota; Viridiplantae; Chlorophyta; Chlorophyceae; Chlamydomonadales; Chlamydomonadaceae.